GUAUUGCUGAAGAGUCCCAAGCACUAGGACAAAACAGCUGUCCAGUAC
Molecule: non-coding RNA, 48 nt
Filed under: Trichobilharzia regenti
Lineage: Eukaryota; Metazoa; Platyhelminthes; Trematoda; Strigeidida; Schistosomatidae
Source: RNAcentral